This is a long non-coding RNA of Perca fluviatilis (European perch), 1050 nucleotides long. RefSeq lists it as uncharacterized. The record is from RefSeq and is a predicted model, not a curated record. NCBI's taxonomy places the organism in Eukaryota, Metazoa, Chordata, Actinopteri, Perciformes, Percidae. The transcript has 2 exons.
ACAAAUAAUGCCUUUUUGGAGUUCUGUUUUGUGCCACACAGCGCCUCAUGUGUGUUGAUCGGGUCCAUCUCACUCCCCCUCCAGCUGCAGGACCGGUGAAAAAACUGUACCAGAAGAUUGACCAUCACAACACCUCAGACCACAGCACAGCUAGACACGAUAAAGGUUUGUGGUCUGGCUACAGUUCUCGGCCCAGAGGGAAAGGGAUGGUGGACCAGUGCUAGGCGUCUGGUUGUAACUUCAGCAUCUGGAGAUGUCAAACCAAAGAGCCAGCAGCAAACCACACGCCCUACACAAAGCCUUGAUGAACAUUCUGUGAUGAACUGAUGAUGCUGAUAUAAGAAGGCUUUGGAGGGGUCAAUCAUAUGACCCCGAGGCCUGCUUCACCAAAGAAAAAGACACUUAAUCCUAUCUGGAGGUACGGCCCAGCAGACGGACUGAGAGAAGGAGGGGGGGAGCGAGAGACCGUUCUGCUCUGACACAUCUGACGUAUUGUGAAGUUAAGUAGCACACAGACUCACAUUCUGAAAAUACACACACUAUUAGGAGAAGAUAAUUAGUACUUAAAUGUUUAAAGUACAUUUCACUGUUCAAAUUUGAACUGGAUUGAUGGAAAGUUGAUAAAAAUGAUCCAUUCAAAGACUUCCUAAAACCCUUAAAUUAUAUUUUCUAGUCUUUUGCAGUUGCUGCAUCUUUCCUGAGACCUUGAGACUGAAGUUGUGUGAGUUUUAGUGCUGAGAAGGUUUGAAACCAUGAUGAUUAAAACCAGCAUAGCUAAAGUCAGCCUAACAACUGAUGAAGAGGGCGUGUGCCGAAAGACUGGGACCAGUCUGUGCACCAACCAGGGGACGCCAAGUCUAAACCACGGUACUCCUCCAACUUUUAAUAAACAAAUCUAAAUGCUCUUAGAGACUGAUAUAUGAAUUCAUGUAUAAGCCAGAAAAUUCAGUCUGAUGAGAGAAGCCUGUGUGCCUGCUCAACUCUGACCCGUGUACACGUUUAUGCUCUUAUGAUUUUACUUAAAUAAAUACUUGUUAAACUUUUAAGUCC